This 113-nucleotide ribosomal RNA is filed under the name Pteropus alecto (black flying fox). Lineage: Eukaryota; Metazoa; Chordata; Mammalia; Chiroptera; Pteropodidae. The record is from RNAcentral.
UUCUACAGCCAAGCCACCCUGUACAAGCCCGAUCCUGUCUGAUCCAAGUACUAAGUCAGGCCUGGUUAGUACUUGGAUGGGAGACCACCUAGGAAGACCAGGUGCUGUAGGUG